RNAcentral lists this ribosomal RNA (210 nucleotides) under uncultured Thauera sp. RNAcentral describes it as "partial 16S ribosomal RNA". It matches the Rfam family "Bacterial small subunit ribosomal RNA", at positions 1180 to 1382 of the family's 1533-position model. The record is from RNAcentral. Lineage: Bacteria; Pseudomonadati; Pseudomonadota; Betaproteobacteria; Rhodocyclales; Zoogloeaceae.
UGACGUCAAGUCCUCAUGGCCCUUAUGGGUAGGGCUUCACACGUCAUACAAUGGUCGGUACAGAGGGUUGCCAAGCCGCGAGGUGGAAGCCCAAAUCCCUUAAAGCCGAUCGUAGUCCGGAUCGUAGUCUGCAACUCGACUACGUGAAGUCGGAAUCGCUAGUAAUCGCAGAUCAGCAUGCUGGCGGUGAAUUACCGGUUCCCGGGUCUU